Bos taurus (domestic cattle) is the source of this 528-nucleotide long non-coding RNA. NCBI's taxonomy places the organism in Eukaryota, Metazoa, Chordata, Mammalia, Artiodactyla, Bovidae. The record is from Ensembl.
GUAGGGGUGGGGGAUGACCAGGGUGAUCAGAAGCUGCUACCCUGGGGACAGCCUGAAUCUGGGCUUGCUGCCUGCCUGGGAAGUAAAAUGAGCUCACCCCCUCUACCCCCGCUGCUACACACACACACAAGAAAAGAGAGACCUCUGGGUACCCCCUAAGGGGCUGAGGUGAGGUGAGCGCGGCUAGAUUAAUACUCAGCAGAGAGAGAAGUCAGUCCUCCACUCUCAGGAUUCUUCUUCAUGGAAAUUCAGCAGGGCCCAGCAGUGCUGACUCAAUGGCAAAACAGUGUCGCCCAAGGGAUCACCUUCAGCUAAACAACCUCAAGCCCAGAAGUGACAGUGAUUCUGUCACGUUCCCCCAUCCCAGCAUCCUCCCUGAGAGCUCUGGUCUCCUCUAGGAAGGCCCAUCUGUGAAGUGGUGCGCCCUCUGGGGAGUCUGGCAGUGGAGGUGACAGAUGCUGAGCAGCUGACUGGGGAGGGGGUGUCCAUCUCCACGGACCCCUUGGUGUGUGCUGAGGGGAACGGGGA